This is a long non-coding RNA of Gallus gallus (chicken), 10191 nucleotides long. RefSeq lists it as uncharacterized. The transcript is spliced from 3 exons. NCBI's taxonomy places the organism in Eukaryota, Metazoa, Chordata, Aves, Galliformes, Phasianidae. The record is from RefSeq and is a predicted model, not a curated record.
GGGUUCCCUCGGCUUUAGAGACUGCGCCCGGGGGGCGCACACGAUCCCAUUGCUUUUUGGUGACUCCACACGCUCGAACGGCUGUGUCUGCUUAUAGAAAAACAAGGCAGUAUUUGGAUUCUGCAGUGCCGGUGGCUGUAUGUCACCAGGAAGGGUUCCAUGUGACAGAAGGGAAAAACAACCUCUGAACGCCUGGACGUGUCGGCACGGGGCUCUCAGAGAGGGCCGGGGCCAAGCGGUGGGUCUGCAGCCAAGGCACAGGCUGGCAGCACGACGUGCUGCUAUUUCUGGCUUCCCUACCCAGUUCCUUCUGACCUUGGCCAAUCUGCCCACUUCACUUCUGUGCUCUUUUCCCUUUUUUUUCCUUCUAAAUAAGCGAUAAUCACACCUUCCUCCCCCGAAAUAGACAUAGAAGGUCCCUUCUGUUAAGGUGCUUUGAAAUCACAUGCAAGCCACUGCCAGGAAGCUGCGUGCUGUACUGUGUUUGAUGAAUCACUGUCAGGGCAGUGCUGGCUGCAGCAGCAGUCCUUCCCUUCCCCUCCCAGCUGUUUCCAUCCUGGCAGUGCUGCUACAGGUGUCAUGAGUAGGCACAGAGCACCAAUCCAAGUCAGCUUUUACCCUUUUCCUACCAGGUCACGCAUGCGUUCAUGCUUUACAGCCAGGCUGCCUGCUGCCCACAGUGCAGCCACAAAAACAACAACAGAUGCACUAGCAUGGCAGAGGGGUAAUGAUGGAAACAGUGCAUUCAGCAAAACUACCACUGAGCAUUAAACUGUAACCUUAGCAUUAUGUGAUUCAUACUUUAACAAUACAAUUUAACAGGACAGUACAUCUAGUUUAAUAAUGAUGAAUUUAUACAAACAAAACCUGCAGCCAGACUUGCUAGGUUGGAAAAAUCCUUUGUGUGUCAGCACUGACCAACAUCACAGCUAUGAUGUCUGCUUUGUGCUAUUCAGCUCAUUGUGUGCACAGACACUCAGUUACAUUCCUGAUGCUCUCCAGUUUUGCCCACUGUGAAGGCAUUGCUGAGUGGAGCAAGCGAGAAUUCUGUAUAAGGGCUACUGAGUCAGACCUUCUGUUAGUAAUAGCUCUUCCUAAGAGAUUUUAUGGGACAAACUCCAUUCAGUCAGAAGCUGCAGGGCCACACAUACAUCCAGAGGCACAGUCUGCCCAAAACUGUUUACAGAGGGCUGCCAACCUGAUUUCUUUAGUUCAUUUUGUGAGACUAACUCGGCUUCCAUGCCAUGUUGCACGGAAAGCACCUCCCCCUGUAUCUCCUGAUCCAGGAACUGCAGGCUGGGCAGUAAUCUCUGUGGUAACAAACCUCAGACCUCUCUCUCCUGUUAUGUAACAAGAUAAAUCUGCAGUUCUCAUUACACCCAGCCAAGUUGCAGCAAACAGUCAGAGUUUCUAGUCCAUGGAAGAACAAUGAGGAAUCUGAGAGAAAUGCAAAACCCAUCACACUAACGGUAAAGAUCAAAGUCUUUUCCACAGCUGACUUCUAAGCUUUUUCUCUCUUUUAUCUCUAGCUUUCUGCAGGAUGAGGAAAGAUUUAUGCCUGGCAGUUUCACACAGUUAAGUUUAAUAGGAUGCCAGUAGCAGCUGUCAAAGGCAGAGUCAAUUGUUCUUGCUAGGCUUUGGGAAUGGGCUUGCUCUUCUCGCCACACGCUGAAGAGAUUAAACCUGACUUGACUUCCAAGGACCAACCCAAACUGUAACUGAGCAAAUAGCUCUGUAGCUAUACCCUCACACUGUAUUAAUGUAGAAGUCAGUAUGUACAUAUGUACAUACACAAACAUGCACCACAGAGCAUACACACACCCACAAACACUUCACAGAAUACAUAUGCUAUUUCUAGGAACAGGGAAGGUCAGGCGCCCUCCCUGAACUCUGUGUGAACUAUUUCCAACUAAGAGCUGGUACCUUCUCUGCUGUUUGCCUGAUGCAGGUUUCAGAAUGAACAGUGUCAGCUUUCUCUGUCCUGCCUCUCAACUGGGCUCUUUUUUUAAAAUUUUACAUUUUCCACCUGUGGAAAAAAAAAUUGAAAAUGUGUGGAAGAUUUUCUUUGAGAAGGAAAAUGCAAGGAAAAUACCACGUAGCACAGCAUGCUACAAAGGGAGGCAACUGCAGAGGUACAGUUCUAGAAGGACUUCACAAGAAGUCAUCAAACCCACCCCCCUCCUCUGGCCACAGCCAAGAAUAUUCACAUCUUCCCAAACAGAAGUUCAUCAAGUUUCCCACUGAAAGUACUGAUAUGCUUUAUCACUUUACCUUACUAAAUAAGGGCAAUAAGCAAAAUGACCUUUUUAAUUUAUUAUUUUCUAGACAAAUGGAUUGCUUAAAACUGGGAACAUUGACUACCGCCUUCCUUUUAACAAGGCACAUGGUGCAUUCCUAUCAAUUCCUAUUUCUUCUUUUUGGGCUGCUGUUGACAGAAAACAGAGCAUGUAUGUUUAAGGGUUGAAGAAUGGAAAUGGAGAAUAUGCAGUCCUGUGAGUGAAGAACAGAGGCUUUAAUCUAAACUCUUAUUCUGAUUUGUUGUUUGACCUUAGGCAAGCUUCUGCAAGUUUGCCAUAUUAAUACUACUUAAGUCACAGAAGGCAGUUAUACUUGUGUAGUGCUGACUUAGAUUAAGAUCACAAAUCAACAUGAAUGUAGGAAGAAAAAUAUGAAAAUGUGCUGUGUUUUUUUUAAGGUAUUAAAGUACCUUCGUAGCUUUUCUGUUUCUUAAUUCUGUGGUGUGUGCAGCAGGGAUAGCAAAGCUAAGCAGUCAGCUAAACCCACAUUCUUAUUGGUUAGAAAGUGUUGAUGUAAAAAUAACAAGUUAUCUACAGGUGAGAUGUGUGAAAAAGGCAGAAUCAGAAAUGGCAUAUAGAUUACUGUUUGGGUUACAGUCAUUAAACUUCCAGUGAACUGGACAGAGCUGUUUAAGUGCCCCUCACUCACCAUGGGAACAGAUCUCAGAGUCAAGCAGAAGUGACAGUCCAAAACUGCUGUUUAAACCUCAGUAAUCGAAUGUUAUUAAAUUCAGUUAGCUUUCACUGUGAAAAGAACGAGGUUGCAGAGUUGCAUUAAAACAUACAAGAAUUCCAGUUCCUUUGGAAAAUGCAUGUUUAAAAUGCACAGCCACUCACUACAAGCAAGCAACUCCCGUAUCCCCUGCCAACAUAAAGGCAGUGAGGUUAUAAACUCGUACACAUAAGAAGAAAACAAAAAUGUUUUUCUUAUCUAGCUAGGGUUUUAGGACUGUGAUCAGAGUAGUCUUUGUAAUUCAACCUAGGAGCAAGGACCAAACCUUUCAGUAGAGCUACCAGCGUUUCCUCAUAAAAACGCAGGAUUCACAGACAUUCACAGUGCAGGGCUCUCACCUCUGGAUUUUAUUUUCCUUAGCUGACCUGAAAACAGAUUAAAACCGUUGGCACAUAGGUACAGUGAAAGACCUCUCUCUCCACAGGUGUUUGCCUGAAGGCUGUGGGAGGGGUUGUGUUUAUUUUGGGAAGUUGCCCUGUCUUCUCUGUGUAGAAUGGAAAACCUCUUUAUUUUCUCUGUGGGUUGCACACAUGGCAUUGGCAUGCAAGGACAGCCUCUUUCAUGGCUCUUAUAAAUGCACAUGGAUUUUUUUAAUGUCUAUUUACAAAAGCAAAGAUCCUGUUACUUAAAUAUAUUUACAGUAUAGGGCAAAUCUUUGUUGUUGUUUUGGUCUCAAGUUUGCCAUUCUCUUAGAAAAUUAGGGCUCAAAUUGGCAAAACCACAAGGAGGCUAAAGGAGUAGAAAGGAACAAAGGAUUAAUAAAGUUUCAUCCCAUACUUUGCUGAACUCUUUAAAAUAUGACAGUGUUGAGUUGGAACACUGCAUUUGACUGAUAACCCAGCACCUGAGGUAGGCAGGUGAGAAGCACAGCAAAAAUAAAUAUCCUAUCUUUUUUUUCAUUUUUCACUACCUUAUCUUCCACGUAUUCAAUAAGGACAAUCCCAAGUUUCACACAGAUAGUUGCUACUCCAUCCACAUAUGCUAAAAGGAUGAAAGAAAUCUCAUCACAAAGACCCAGAGAAAGGACUUUCUGGUCGAAAGAAGACCAUCUGAUAAACAGUGUUGCAACCUGCCUAUAACGUUACCUGUUUCCAUGUGGAGAUCUGCCAAGGCAGAAACCGUCUCUGGAAAGAGGAAGAUUUAGAGAUAGGAGAAAUACAGGCUGUCUUUGUUUACUCACGAUCUCUGCUCUCCAUCUCCAGGAAAUGAAUGCAUGUAGCCUGCAGAGUUUAAUUCUCUUUUGGUUUAUUACUAUUUAAAAACCAGUUUUUGCAUCCCCUUCUACAGAGGCUUCACCUUCCAACAGAACAUACAAAAAAUACACACAAUAGAAAAAAAAAAAAAAGAUAGGUAGGUAAGUUGCUUUAUACAAACAGGUCCCUAAGAACCCAAAAGGCUAAAACAGGCUCGGUUUCAAUAGAAGCAGGCCCAUAAAUAGGCAAGAAACUUCAUUCAAGUAGGGAAAGAGUCAUCCAUCCUCACCUAAGAUCCUUUCUUGCUCACACUGAAGAUAAUGGGAGGAUUCCCAACAACUUCAGUAGAAGCAGGAUUGAGAUUCAUCAGAGCCAAUGGCAAACUUUUCUGCUCCUUCCCUUCCAAGGCACUGUCUUGUCCACACAGCAUGCAGCCAGGGAAAAAUGCCAGACUUCCUGGCUCAUCCCCACACUUGUGUUUCGGUUGUUUGCUCUACAGGACAUCUGAGAACAGCCUUUUAUUUUCUCUUACACUGUGUAUUAGCACUAAUUGCUGCAGACUUCCAGAUUACAACAGUACUGAAGAGAAAUUCUGAUCCCAAGAGCAAGGCUUGGUUGAUUAUUUAAGAGCCAGCAGUCAGUCUGACAGAUUUGCAGAGGGCAUGUAAAAGUUGCCUGGAAAAGGCACCAGUUUGUAGACACAGCAGCCAAAAAGCUAUUAGCGGGAAUGAGAUUGAUUUAUUACAAAAGCACUUACCCACGCUCACUAUGUGGCUGCAGGAAGCUCAAGAGCAUUUAUAGCUGCCAGUGGCUGUUUGAAGUGACCCCAUGGUCCACAUGGAACCCAGGAGCUAAGAGGGAGUCACUGGAACGUCAGUGAGACACCAGUUACCUCCUUCCUUCAGCACAUCUCAGCUCAAAGCACUUCCCAGUCUCCAAAACUGCAGUACAAGUAGAGAAGCCACCCAGGAAAAGCUUCAUUCACAUAAACCCUGAGAGCAGAUCAAUAACACCAGGCAGUCUUUGAAUUUAUUUAGAUAUUUCACCUUUUGGGAAGAACGUAGCCGAAUGCUUAACUUUGCAUCAUGCCUGGAGUCAGUGGGGCCAAAUGUUUGUAGCAGUUAAGUAGCACUAUUGUGCAGGACAGUUUGGCACCUGAAUCACUCUUACUCAAGGUUAUCAUCUCAUUUUUCAUAUUGGAACUAAACACAGGAAGAGGCCAGAGAUGACAUAAGGUGUUAAUUCUUUACAAAGAGGCAGUCAUUACCCGCUACCACAGAGCAAACAACUGUGGUUUUCCACUAGCAUGCUUUAACCAUUCCAGCCAUCCCCACAGCUCCGUAUAGCCAGGGUUCUUGCUCCUGUUCUGCAGGACUCUGUAGUUAUGUCACUUUUUUUUUUUUUUUUUCCUGUUUAGCCAAAUCGUUCUCCUGUUUGUUUUACAGGUAGCAUUGUUAAUCUGUAGAACUGUGUGUAUCCAAAUAGGUACACACACUGGCAAAGGAAUGUAUGGGGGUGAAGCUAUCAAGGGAGCAGGCAGAAAAACAUUCUGCCAAUGCUGUUGCUGCUGCUGAUCCUGCAACAGUAAAGAGUGGCUUCAGGCUGCAGCCCAGCCACUGCCUCCCUCUCCGUCCAAGGCUCAGUGCUCCUAAACACACAGCUUUCUUAAAGGGACACAGAGCAGCAGACAGGGCUGAAAGCCACAUCUAUUCCCAAAGGCUCAUUCACAACGGCCAAAGGUUCUUAUUUAGAAAAGCAUGUACAGGAUAAAAGGCCGGACUCUCUCAGGAGACAGGGGCAUCUUCCACAAUCUGUUUUCUUUUUAAAAUUUUUCUUUUUUCUUUUUUUUUUUUUCCCUCUUUGCUCAUUUGUUUUGUCUCUUGGGUUGGAACUGAGAGCAUAAGCUCAGGGACUCAAUGUGAGCUUAUGUUCUAUUCAGUUAAAACUCAUGUACUGUGCCCAUGCAAAAGGUGAAUGGUAUAAAGCUGGCUUAAUUCACGUUAAGAUAUUCAUAAUGCUGUUAAGGUAUAUUCAUAAUGCUGAAAAAGCCAACGUGUUCCAUGGUUUUGUUUGGCACUUGCUCUCAGAGUUUCUGCCACCCUGAACCAUCAAAAAUAUUUCUGUUUUUGUGGAUGAUACAGAAAAGCCUUUCCUGUUUCAUUACAUAAAAUUUUGAUAGUUGUGUUUUCCUUUGUCCAUUCAUCUCUCAUGAAACCCAGAGAAAGCUCUCGCUUUCCAUUUGUUCUUCCAACACUGAAGUCUGGAGUUCCUUUGAAAUUUACUUUGGCAUCUACUUCCUCAAGCAAGCACCUUAAAAAAAAUUAAGCUGAAAGUGGUACCCCACUCCAGACUCAGGACAAAAAUUCAAAUAUUGAAUUCUAGGAACAAAGAUUUCGGGAAAAAAACCAAACCAAAACAAAAACAAGACACUAAAGCUACAACAGAGCCUACAAAAUCUAGGUUAGAUUUCAUACUAUCAAUUCCAUUAGUUGAGUUAGGUAGACAUUCAGUUACACAGCUUUUCUAUUCAAGUCAAGUCAUUCCUUACUGCUGAUAGCAGUUAAGGGAAAAACAGUAAUUUCAGAGAAUACUUGGGAAAUAACAAACAUUCCCUAAGUCACUGGCACUCAAAUGGGUCUAAAACUGUGACUGGGCAUUUGCAAUUAUUCAAAAGAUUGGAAUGAGGACCAACUCCUCACCAUCUUACAGUUCUAGGUUAAAAAACAAACAAACAAAAAAGAAACACCUCCCCCCAUAAUACUUUGACCUAUUAUACUUAAGGCACUGGGUUGAGAGAAGGAAACUCUGAGUUCAAUUUCUGGUUCUGCUAUCAAUUUCCCACAUUAUCAUGGGCAAAUCACUUAAGACUGAGAGCUCACAUGCCAUCACAUUACCAUGCAUCAGGUAAGUCACACCAGUCAGUCUGUUUGCAGACACCUAGCAUGUGGCAAAUGCAAGGUGAUGUGACUUAAUGUAAUUUGGUAUGGAAUAAACUCAUAUUAAAUUGUUUUACCUGGCACUUGUGGUGGACAUAACUUACUUCAGGCAAAAAGAAAAGCCUACUGAUAAGUCUGAGCCCCUGCAUUCAACACAACAUUUAAGCAUGCAUGCCACCAUUUUUUUGUGUUUCAACUCCGUUUCAUUCAUUCACUUAUGAAAUGCUAGCAUCUAUUCCUUUCUUGUCUAUCAUUUAUAUCUAGAUUAUCAAGGUUUGAAAAUAUUUUCAUACCUAAUACAGAAGGGUCUGAACCACGGUUGAGGGGUUUAAGCACUCCCAUAAUACAAAGAAGUACUACUAAUCUCAUUAUCAGAAUUUGUAUUAACUGAAGUUCCUUCCUUUGCAGAGCAGUGCACUGACUUCAACACUGGAUUGCAGUCCUAGCAAAUAACAAAAAAGAUAGUUAUCAUCUAUACACUGACAUGACAGUUAAAAAUGUAAUAGAAACAAGCUAAAUGAGGUUGCAGCUUGAGGCAUUUUAAGUAUUUCCCUUUGAACCCUGAACUGAUGAGGCUGAGUUUUCUGUUUGGAUCUCUUUUAUGAUUUAUGAGCAGCAGACACUUCCCAAAGUGUAGGAUUUGCAGAUAAGUUCCUAUCUAGAACUGAAUAAUAUGCCUCCAAAACAGGAGAGAGCUCUGAAAAUCCAUUUCUGCUGAAGACCUGUUAGCACUUGUCUGCACUAAUCUCUGUGUUGGUGCAAAUCUCUCCCAUUUACACUAGAAUGAUCUAGAACUGUCAUUUCAGGAUUGUUAACUUACUGCCUAAUUGUUUCCUUGCUCACUAGACUGAGAAUUAAAUAGCUUUCAUUCAAUUCAUUCAUGACAACUUAGUAAGCAUUUUCUUUGACAAGCAAAAUGCACGGUGUUUUAGAAGGCUUCCUUUUUAGCUCAAGGCUUUUCAUUAGUUUCAUCAGGCCAAAAUCUGUAGCUUUCCAAAUGAAAUUCCAGUGUGCAUGGUGCCAAAUUCAACUCACCAAUAACAGUAAAGUCAGUGGAGCUAAAACUAGGAUAAAAAUAACCUGUAUUCUGGAAAUGGAUUUUAUGACUACCGCAUGUUCUCAAAGUGCUAGGAACACCGAGGACACAAACUUUGCAUAUCUUUCAGAACACAGCCUCAAUUCUACAGAAAUCUUCCUCACGGCUUACUGCUCAUUACUAAAUACCUAAAUACUAGCUACUUGCAAGUCAGCAUGACUGCAGUUGCAUUUGCUAAUUCCAAUGAAUUGUUAUGCUGACUGGAAAGCCUGCUCUAUCUUGAAUUGCUUGGCAGCUUGCAGGGUUGUCUCAACAUAAUCUAGAUUCUGUUACCUUCCUGAAAUGUCCUGUUUCUACUUGUCAAAUAAGUGUAUCAGUACACUUUAGUUUAAAAGAGUUUUGUGUUGAUUUUUUGUUUUUCUUUCCCUUUUAGAUGAGACUCAUGCCUAUUCCAGGGAUUCUGGGGGAAGAUGAUUGGAGAAGAGCAUGUCCUUCAGUCUUCCAACCUAGAUUAAUAGCAAAAUUUCAAGUCCAUAUUUGCAUAAAAUAUGCAAAUCUAGAAAGCACUGGUACUAUAAAGUCUUUCAUUAUUCAACCUCAGUUUAAAAUACUCAAGAGCAAGCUUUAAAAAGUGGCUUGUUCUAAGAGAGAACCUGCUGUUUCUAAGCCUGUAGAGUUUAGAAUGGCAUCCUAAAACCUUUAUGCUUAGAAAGGGCUCUACACUUCAAACACAAAACCAAAAUAGGACUGUAUCCCACAAUGUCUUGUUUUAGCUGCUGACUUCGGACUCUGUAUUUGGGCAAUACAGAGUGCCAAAAGAGCAGUUUGUGGCUACCUCCUCAUUUCAUAUAAACAUACCUCUUAGAGAGGAUGUAGAUCCUGGUCUGUGGUGGUCUAUGCUGAGACAGCACUGUAUUAAUGAUGGGGACAACUAUUAUUUCACAGAGUGCAAGUUUGGUGUGGAACUUGGCCUCUUCAAAGUGGCCUUUCUAGAAACAGUCAGUGCAUACAUAGGAGCUUAAUUUGCCAAAUCACCCCUUAAACCUCUGCUCAUUAACCCUCAUAACAAUUAAGUGAUGUAGAAAAAACUUCUCACAUAUAGGAAAUCAAGAAAUCAAUUCAAUGAUUAUGCCACUGUCUAUGCAACUUUGACCAUCAAUAGAAGAACCAUAAUUAGAACUCAGGAGUAUUCCUAACUCAUAACCCUGUGUUUAGUUAAUUAAAUAACACUUAUAUCUGGACUUGCUACAUAAAGAACUUGAAAAAAACUACAUGGGAAGAGGGAGGGCCAAGAAAGGACACUAUUUCGGCUCAAGUGGUAUUUUCAGAUUAAACAGAACCUCAAACAGCCUAUAAACCCUGCUUCUUCGCCUUCUGUAAUCAAUUCUUUUUCAGAGAUCUACCGUUCACACUCUCUUAUAGUAGAAACCUUUCUUGGAAAAUAAAUGAACAAGACUGGCUUUUGCAAACCUGACUAAAGGUAGAUCAGGAGAGCAAGACUGUAGCCAAAAAGCCCAGGUCACUGAGAGUACAGUACAAUGGAGAGAGGGAUUAACACCAUAUUUACUGGUUCUCAUUUGCACACCUUUUGGACAGGUGGCUAAAUUGUUCAAAAACCAGACCAAACAAGGGGAUGUAAAGUAACAUACUAACUUCUUUAAUACAGUCCAAUCCAAUUAAAUCAAAACCACUUUGUGAACCCCUGGGUUUAUUCACACUAAACAAGUCAGUGGUACAUCGUGUUAACCCGAUAGCUGGAUUGUGUUUAUACCGGUACCAGGUCCCACAUGAAAAUUGAGCACCAGUCAACCAGACUGCAAUGGUAUUUUUUCCUUUUUUUUUUUUCCCCCAUAAAACUAUUUCUUUCAUAGACUUAAAAACAACCAACUAGCCAAGUUAUUAAUUAUGGUACACCUAAAAAAAAAAAAGAAUACUAACCCUAACGUGACUGCUGCUUUAAGAGUGCUCUGUGUCUCGCCUUAGACUGGCUUUUCAG